RNAcentral lists this non-coding RNA (199 nucleotides) under Pseudoflavonifractor sp. SW1122. RNAcentral describes it as "6S RNA". It matches the Rfam family "6S / SsrS RNA". Rfam says of the family: E. coli 6S RNA was the first non coding RNA to be sequenced, but its function was unknown until recently. It consists of 184 nucleotides that fold into an extended hairpin structure with a large single-stranded internal bulge. The 6S RNA specifically associates with RNA polymerase holoenzyme containing the sigma70 specificity factor. The record is from RNAcentral. Lineage: Bacteria; Bacillati; Bacillota; Clostridia; Eubacteriales; Oscillospiraceae.
GAAUCCCUGCCUUGUCUCGUGACCACCUUUUUAAAACCCACAUCUUUUAAACGGGAUGUCCCCUCAUCUGGCGGAUCGCAGGCCUCCCGGACCUCUUCGGAGUGUUUGGACGUUGGAAGUGAGGAAACCAGAUGGAGACAACCCACCUGCAUUUGCGUGCAGGUUUUUAAUUGGGUGGCACGGCUAUGGCGGGGCCCUU